Molecule: ribosomal RNA, 509 nt
Filed under: uncultured bacterium
Lineage: Bacteria
Description: bacterial SSU rRNA
Rfam family: Bacterial small subunit ribosomal RNA
Source: RNAcentral
AAUCAACGCUGGCGGCGUGCCUCAGACAUGCAAGUCGAACGAGAAAGUCCCCUUCGGGGGAUAAGUAAAGUGGCGCACGGGUGAGUAACACGUAGGUAAUCUACCUUCGGGUGGGGAAUAACCCAGGGAAACUUGGGCUAACACCGCAUAAUGCAGCGGCACCACAUGGUGACAGUUGUUAAAGCGGGGGAUUUUCGGACCUCGCGCCUGAAGAGGAGCCUGCGGCGGAUUAGCUAGUUGGAAGGUAACGGCUUACCAAGGCAACGAUCCGUAGCCGGCCUGAGAGGGCGGUCGGCCACACUGACACUGACAUACGGGUCAGACUCCUACGGGAGGCAGCAGUCGGGAAUUUUGGGCAAUGGGCGAAAGCCUGACCCAGCAACGCCGCGUGAAGGAUGAAAUCCCUCGGGAUGUAAACUUCGCAAGAAUGGGAAGAAUUAGCGAGCGCUAAUACCGCUCGUGAUGACGGUACCAUUUGUAAGCUCCGGCUAACUCCGUGCCAGCAGCCG